Molecule: ribosomal RNA, 407 nt
Filed under: uncultured bacterium
Lineage: Bacteria
Description: partial 16S ribosomal RNA
Rfam family: Bacterial small subunit ribosomal RNA
Source: RNAcentral
AUUGAACGCUAGCGGGAUGCCUUACACAUGCAAGUCGAACGGAGUGGCGAACGGGUGAGUAAUGUAUCGGAACGUGCCCAGUAGCGGGGGAUAACUACGCGAAAGCGUAGCUAAUACCGCAUACUAUUGGAGCGGCCGAUAUCGGAUUAGCUUGUUGGUGGGGUAACGGCUCACCAGGGCGACGAUCCGUCGCUGGUUUGAGAGGACGACCAGCCAAACUGGGACGGGGACACGGCCCGGACUCCGACGGGCGGCAGCAGGGGGGAAUUGUGGACACUGGGGGAAACCCUGAUCCAGCCAUCCCGCGUGUGCGAUGAAGGCCGUCGGGUUGGAAAGCACUUUUGGCAGGAAAGCGGGACCUGAAGAAUAAGCAACGGCUAACUACGUGCCAGCAACCGCGGUAAUAC